GGUAGUGUGGCUGAGUGGUCUGAGGUGCUGGAUUAAGGCUCCAGUCUCUUUUGGGGUGUGGGUUCAAAUCCCAUCACUGCCA
RNAcentral lists this transfer RNA (82 nucleotides) under Nestor notabilis (Kea). It matches the Rfam family "tRNA". From Rfam's summary of the family: Transfer RNA (tRNA) molecules are approximately 80 nucleotides in length. The record is from Rfam by way of RNAcentral. Lineage: Eukaryota; Metazoa; Chordata; Aves; Psittaciformes; Psittacidae.